AUUGAACGCUGGCGGCAGGCCUAACACAUGCAAGUCGAACGAGUGGCGGACGGGUGCGUAAUGUCUGGGAAACUGCCUGAUGGAGGGGGAUAACUACUGGAAACGGUAGCUAAUACCGCAUACCAUCUGAUGUGCCCAGAUGGGAUGUGCUAGUAGGUGGGGUAAAGGCUCACCUAGGCGACGAUCCCUAGCUGGUCUGCGAGGAUGACCUGCCACACUUGAACUGAGACACGGUCCAGAUUCCUCCGGUAGGCAGCAGUGGGGAAUAUUGCACAACGGGCGCAAGCCGGAUGCAGCUAUGCCGCGUGUAUGAAGAAGGCCUUCGGGUUUGAAAGUACUUUCUGCGGGGAGGCGUUACCCGCAGAAGAAGCACAGGCUAACUCCGUGCCAGCCGCCGCGGUAAUUC
Molecule: ribosomal RNA, 406 nt
Filed under: uncultured bacterium
Lineage: Bacteria
Description: partial 16S ribosomal RNA
Rfam family: Bacterial small subunit ribosomal RNA
Source: RNAcentral